AGGCCAGAAGCAUCCCACGAAACACUUGAAUUAUGGACAGAGGUUUCCAGCAGGCAGUUUGAGUGCUGCCAUUUCUCUCCAUAACUGAGAAAAGCUUGAACAGGAAGGGUGGGGAUUGCUUCCAGCAAGCAUCACAGCUGGUCUGGUGCUGACAGCGUUUUCCUAGGAGUGAGAUAGGAGAUAAGGUUUUUAACCGCCUCAGGCUGAGAAGGGCAGACCCUCCUGGUAGUUCUAGGGAGCUACUUUUUCAUGAGUAAAGCUGAUUUUCUCCAUGGGAUUCUUCCAGUGGCCUGCUUCUCAGACUGUACUAUGGAGAGAGCUUAUACGCCUCUUGUAGGUGCUUGGGCUCUUUUUCCCACUGCCAGUCUCCACUUUCAGGUGGAUAAGGAGUGAGCCCUAAAUGUUAUCAAUCAAAACCCAGGUGCCUACGGAUGUGGAUACCCUUUGAAAUAAUAUGCUAUCAGGAUAAAUAAGGACACUUCCAUUUCUC
RNAcentral lists this long non-coding RNA (490 nucleotides) under Numida meleagris (helmeted guineafowl). RNAcentral describes it as "lncRNA (ENSNMEG00000000300.1)". The record is from RNAcentral. Lineage: Eukaryota; Metazoa; Chordata; Aves; Galliformes; Numididae.